RNAcentral lists this transfer RNA (85 nucleotides) under Actinoplanes sp. OR16. RNAcentral's name for it is "tRNA-Arg". Lineage: Bacteria; Bacillati; Actinomycetota; Actinomycetes; Micromonosporales; Micromonosporaceae. The record is from RNAcentral.
CCGGGCCGUCGUCUGGCCAUCGGCUCUGACGGCUCCGGGCCGUCGUCCGGCCAUCGGGUCUGACGGCUCCGGGCCGUGGUCCGGC